CCGCUGGCGGCGUGCUUACAGAAUGCGAGUCGGAGCGGGAACCGAGCACCAGAAGCCUUCGGGUGGAAGGAGCUCGGGGAGAGCGGCAAACGAGUGAGUAACACGUGGGCAACGUACCCUGNCAGACGGGGAUAACGGCUGGAAACGGCUGCUAAUACCCGAUGGUCCGGAGGAGUCGCAUGGCUUUUCCGGUAAAGCUCCGGCGCUGCAGGAGCGGCCCGCGGCGGAUUAGCUUGUUGGUGAGGUAACGGCUCACCAAGGCGACGAUCCGUAGCCGGUCUGAGAGGAUGGUCGGCCACACUGGGACUGAGACAUGGUCCAGACUCCUACGGGAGUUAGCAUCGAGGAAUCUUGCCCAAUGGGCGCAAGCCUGAGGCAGCGACGCCGCGUGAGGGAUGAAGGCCUGCGGGUCGUAAACCUCUGUCAGGAGGGACGAAACCGCCUUCGGGCGCUGACGGUACCUCCAAAGGAAGCCCCGGCUAAUUACGUGCCAGCAGCCGCGGUAAGACGUAAGGGGCUAGCGUUGUCCGGAGUUACUGGGCGUAAAGCGCACGUAGGCGGCUUGAUCAGCGGCGGGUGAAAGCCCACGGCUCAACUGUGGAACUGCUUGCCGAACUGUCAGGCUAGAGUGCGGGAGAGGGCAGUGGAAUUCCUGGUGUAGCGGUGAAAUGCGUCAAUAUCAGGAAGAACACCAGUGGCGAAGGCUGCUGCCUGGAACGCAACUGACGCUGAGGUGC
This 737-nucleotide ribosomal RNA is filed under the name uncultured bacterium. RNAcentral describes it as "bacterial SSU rRNA". It matches the Rfam family "Bacterial small subunit ribosomal RNA", at positions 33 to 754 of the family's 1533-position model. The record is from RNAcentral.